GGGGCGGUAGCUCAGCUGGGAGAGCACCUGGUUUGCAACCAGGGGGUCGCCGGUUCGAUCCCGGUCCGCUCCA
Molecule: transfer RNA, 73 nt
Filed under: Pseudomonadota bacterium
Lineage: Bacteria; Pseudomonadati; Pseudomonadota
Also listed under: 5 other names
Description: tRNA-Ala
Rfam family: tRNA
About the family: Transfer RNA (tRNA) molecules are approximately 80 nucleotides in length. Their secondary structure includes four short double-helical elements and three loops (D, anti-codon, and T loops). Further hydrogen bonds mediate the characteristic L-shaped molecular structure. tRNAs have two regions of fundamental functional importance: the anti-codon, which is responsible for specific mRNA codon recognition, and the 3' end, to which the tRNAs corresponding amino acid is attached (by aminoacyl-tRNA synthetases). tRNAs cope with the degeneracy of the genetic code in two manners: having more than one tRNA (with a specific anti-codon) for a particular amino acid; and 'wobble' base-pairing, i.e. permitting non-standard base-pairing at the 3rd anti-codon position.
Source: RNAcentral